UGACUCUCGGGCGUUUCCCUCAUACCCCUGAGUUCUGCAUGAGUGCAGAGGAUUGAACUGAUGGGGGUAACGUGGAGCCUGGAAGAGCUGUUUGCAUCAGAGCCGGCAGGAAGAAAAUGCUGAAAACAGGAGAUUGGUAUUGGUUAAGUUAACCCUGAAACAGGAAACGGGAAGCACUGCAGCUCUUAUGGGAAAAUCCACUGGUUCUACUCUGUCCCCUCAGCAAAGGAUAGUUACACAGUUAUCAAGCUGACUUAAAGGCUGGGCAGCCCUGGCCAGGAUCUCCUCCCCUGCAGGAAGCAUGGCACGGUGACCUUGGUCAACUCAGGCAUCAGGACACCAGGAUAGGCUGAACCACGAAAGAGUUUUCUAUUCUCUGGCCCUUCCUUGGGCUCGAAGCUGUUUUUAUAAAACUCAAGAGUAGAGCAAGGCGCAAAAGAGUGUUUUCUGCUUUGGAUUUAAGUGGGUGAGAACUGGAGAGGAAAAACGCGGUGGGUGAAUUACUAUUCUUGGACGCUCUGCAAACGUUUCACCUCCUGGGCCCUGAAGCGGGCCGGACAGGGAAGCAACGUGUGAGCGUCAUCCAGAGGCCAGGCGCUGGCAGAGGCCUGAGAGGGGCAGGGGGAGGAGGGACACUGAUGGACGCCUCUGUGGUGCCUGCUGACUUGGGCACUGGUGUGGGUGGGGUGCCCAGAGCAGGCUCUAGGAGGCGGAUCCCUGUGGGAUGGUUGUUGGUGCGGACUCUCCCUAGCCUAAACUAGCGAAUUCUCAUAAAGCGGCUUGGAGUAACUCCUAGGGUCACCACUUGUUAGUUUGGAACUAAGUAGGUAGGUGGAGCAUGCUCUGGUCAGUCUCUUUGCAAACACGUGCCUUUGGCCACCAGAGGGCUGGGGAGGGGAGACUGGAAGGCUGGGUCCUCCCGGGCUGUGGCUCAGGGACUCACUGCUGGCUUGGCGCGCUAGUCCCGCCCUGGGGGGUCGUACAGUGCACCCCUUCUGUACUGCUCCACAUGCUUAAUAUCCGCCUGAGGACGACCCCGUCGUCCCCACAGAGGGGAAGGUGGCCCCACACCAGCGCCACCUGCAACCGCCCGCGAGCCGCGCCUUCUCGGGUCUCCCCGCGCGCCCCGCCGCCACCCCUACGCCGCCCGCGCCUCCUCGCGCGCUCGGAGCCUCGUCCCGGAGGACCCUCGGCCUGCGCCGGACUGGCCGUGACCGUGCCCCGCCAGGGGUCCGCCCGCCGCUGACAGCGCGUCCGGGGCGCUCCCGCGGCCCGUGCAGGCGCGCUCGCGGUCAUCGUUCUUCCAGGGGGCGAACGAGCAAAGCGGACUUCCUUCUAGACGCUCACCGCAGCCACAGACAGUAAUAGUUUCAAAUCCGCCGAGGCUGUCAACCUGCCAUCUUUUCCUCCAAGUGUAUAAUGGGACACUGUGUCUAGACUUUUUCAGGGAAUGAGCAUCUUCCAGAAUCUAGCCUUUCCUCCCUUUUGGAUUUUGGACAUUUACUCUUCUCUCUCCCCCUCACGGAGUCUCCUCUCGCCACCAGCAGCCCCCUGGCCCCCUCCCUCUCUGAGGCAGCCCGCCGUGCCCUCCUGGCUCUCUGAGGCAGCCCGCCGUGCCCUCCUGGCUGAACGGCAGCCUAGACCCUCUUACACUCCCGGCCUCCAACUGCGCGCGAUCAAAACGCAGUGCCUGCCUACUCAUUCGGUACAAACUGAGCGGAACGACUAGGGUUUAAGAUGCUCUGCUGAGAACUGAGGAGCAUACAAAGAACUCUGCCCCUCGAAUAACUGAUAGGCUGGUUUCUCAGGCCUUGAAGGUGGCAGGCUUACUAUUCUGACAGACUCAACUGGAAAUUAACAGCUGAAUGCAUUACCCUCUCAGAGACAUUUGCUUUCAAAAGAUUUAUUAUGAUGUACUUGAUAAAUGGCUUAAAAAGUUUCCAGUGAGAAUCGCGAAUUGUAGGUAAUACUAACAACACAAGCAGAAGCCCCAGAAAAGAAAAUCGUCAAGCUGGCCAUUCUACUUCUCGUGCAAGCUCUCUGUAAAUCAUGCUAUGAAAUAAAAACAAUGGUAAUUCUCGUGAGAUUAGCCCAGAAGUCAACAACAAAAAAAUGUGAAUUAUCUAAGUAGACCGUUUCAAAUGUGGCUUUCCACACACUAUCCUUAAUGAUGAAUUGCACCCUUUGUGUUGCCUGUCAAGCAACACUAUUAUUAGCUAAUAAAUACGUGAAGAUUUCAUUACUAGUGUUUAAAAUUAAAACGUACUUUAUAAUUAUCUUUAACUUGCUUAAUUUUAAUUUAUGUGUUUAUAAUAUACCUCACAUAUUAGUUUACAGUACCUGUACAUUGUUAAUUAAUGAACUAAUAUACUUUCACUGGGAAUCUGUGCACAAAACAUUUUUACUGAUAAUGAUAAUGGUAUAAGACCAAAAGAUGUUUGGAAGGUCUUCAGACCAUGGGGAAUCUACCUAUUUAGUUCGUAAACUCUUUUUUUUUCUUUUUUAAAGAUUGGCAUUCUACUUCUCGUGCAAGCUCUCUUUAAGUCAUGCUAUGACUUUUUUUCUUUUUCUUCUUCUCCCCAAAGCCCCCCCAGUACAUAGUUGUAUAUUCUAGUUGUAUGUCCUUCUGGUUGUGCUAUGUGGGACGCCGCCCCAGCACACAGGAUCCAAACCAGCGAAACCCUGGGCCCGUGAAGCAGAGCGCACGAACUUAACCAUUCAGCCACGGGGCCAGCCCCUGGUUCAUAAAUUCUUGAAGAUUAAAACUGCCAUUUCCCCUGACAUUGCCCUGUACUUAUGCUUACUGGGCCUUCAAAAUCUGUACCAGAAUGUUUCUGCCAGCAUCAAAAUAAUUAAAAAUAGCUUUUUGAAGGAUCCAAGUCCAGUUCUAAAUAGUGGAGAGCAGAACUGUGCCCGCCUCUCUUCUUUUUAACUUACAUUUAAAUAACCUGAUAAGCCUAUUGGGUGAGUUCGCUUCAUGCCUGCUUGGCACGCCCCUCCUUUGCCAUUCAAACAGAGAAUAGCCGUGACUCAUCUGCUGGCCUGUCGUUAAAAAGAAGAGGUGGAUGCCAAGUGAGCUAAAACAGAAGUCCAUGGAUUGAGCAAAACUUCUCCAAACUUAAAUGGAUAAAAGUGAAUAACCCUGUUCGACACUUGAAACAACUUGGGGACGUUGAACAAUGAUACUGUCUGCAGCUAAAUUAUGCAUCAAGAUCCUAAACAAAACCAGGUCUACCCCAGGGGCCAGGUUUUGAUAUGAUUAUGGUUGAGGAGGUAAAUUGGUAACAAUUUGCCCUAAUAGUUACAGACUAGAAUGGACUCUUCCAUGCAAGUAGCACAGAAUUCCAGAGUCUGGGUCAGCUUCAACAGAUUUUAAGUCCCUAUUGAAAAGUCCAGUCUCUCCAUAGGCACUCUGAAAAUGGGCUUCUGUUUAAGCUAAAACGUAGGCUCCUGGCUCCUGGAUUUACAAAACAGACAGUCUGUUCUGAUGCCUGCAAUGUGGAAUCUAAAGCAUGCGAAUAUUACUUUACAACGGAGGAUAACAGCAUUUCAGACACUUAAGCUAAGUGUCAAAGGUUUAAGAGCAGUAAAGAAACUAUUUUACUUGUCUUACCCAAACUUAGCAGCCAGGGAACCCUUCCUUCCAUCAUCCCGUAAUUCUUCCUAAUGUUACACAAUGAACAACAGUGCUAGCAGCACGAAGGUUCACGAACACACUUUGGUAAGUGCUGCUCCAGAUCAAAUUGCUUCUUUUACUGGACCGUAGAACCUGACAUGUUUUCCUUUUGUUUUGACUUCCAGAUCCUUAAAGCUAUAUUUAUUUUAAACUCUCAACGAGUAAUUUAUUUGAGGCUCCUGGUACAUAUGUCUCUUUACUUCUUCUGAUAUUUAUAAAGAUUGUUUCUGUUUGCAAAAUUAAUGUGUGCUUAUUGUAGAAAAGUUGGAAAUUGAAGAAAAUAUAAAGAAGAAAAUAUAAAUCUUUCAUAAUUCUAGUACUUAGAGAUAAUCACUGUUUUGUUACAUUUAUUCCCAAUCUUGCUUUUAUAGUAUGCAUAUAUUUUGUUAGCUUAAAAAAUUGGGAUUAUAUUUUAUAUAAACUUGUAGACUGCUUUUUCCACUAUUAAUAUUAAAUAUUUUCCCAUGACAAUUAAAUGUAUCUUCAAAACAUAAUGUCCACUAGCUGCAUAAUAGUCUGUAAUAUGUAUAUACCUUCAUUAAUGUAAUUAUUGUUAGACAUUUAAUUUUUUCAAUUUUAAUUAUAAUAAAUUAUAUAGUAACGGGGUAAAAUUUUUUUAAGUCGUGAUACACAUUGCCAAAUUGUUUUCCAGAAAUUUUUGCCAAUCUACCCUCCUACCAGCAAUGAAUGAGAAUACCUAUCUCCACACACCUUCACCAGUAUUGAAUAAUAUAGUUUUUUCUUUUUAACUUCACCAAUCUGGUAGGUAAAAAAUAGCAUCUCAUUUUAAUUUGAGUUAAUUUGAUUGCUAAUUAAAUAUUUCUUCAUUUGUUAAUUUCCAAUUUGUGUUUCUUCCCUGCUCAUUGUCUUUUUCCUAUAUUGAAGUGUCUAUAUUCAUUUCAUUGACUUACAAGAAUUCUUUAGAUAGUAAUAAUUUUAAUAUUUUCUCGUGCAUAUAUUUUCAUUUGUUUAAUAUUAGAAGUUUUUAAUUUUUGUAGACAAACCUAUCGAUGUUUUCUUCUGUGGUUUCUCCCUUUGCUGACGCCACCCUUCCCAGGAUCAGCUCUGUUUCCUGUGUUUCUGUUUCUUUGUUUGUAUAUGGUAUGAGGCAGGAAUCUAAUUUCAGUCUUUUACAUAGAAUAUCAUUUCUCCACUAAUUUGUAAUGCCUCCGCUAUCUUACGUCAGGUUCUCAUAUAAGCGUGUGUUUAUUCUCUAUUCCAUUGACCUAUCUUCGGUCUCUUCUAUUCCAUCUGUCUAUUUUGAUUCAAUACCACUGUGUUUUAAGUACUGUAGUUUCAUGAUCAUUUCCUACAUCUAACAGUUCAAGCCCUUCUUCUUAGUUCUUUUUCUUUUUCAGAAAUAUUUUAGCUAUUCUCAAAUCUUUUAUUCUUUCAUAUGAAUUCUAAGAACAAUUUGUGAUACUCCACCAAAACUUUUCUUGUAGUAAGUAUUGGAAUUGCAUUGGCUCUACAGAUCAAUUUGUGCAGAAUUUACAUCUCUUUGAUAUUGAUCUCUCCAUUCAUGAAACCUGGUCUAUUUCUCUAUCUAUUUAGAUCUUCCACAUCUUUCAAUAAUAUUUUAUAAUUGGUUGCAUAGAGUUCGUGCACAUUUUUGUUCAUAUUAAUGUGAAGUAUCUUGCAGUUUCUCGUUUUUUCCUAAUACAUUUUCUAGUUGGUUAUUGCAUAAAAAUGUUAUUAAUUUUUUAAACCAACUUCAUUAAAGUAUAAUUACAUAAAAUAAAUGCAUACAUUUUAAGUGUACAGUUAGAUGAGUUUUGACGAACAUAUACACUCAUGUAGCCAACACCUCCGUCCUGAUACAGAACAUUUCCAUCACCUCAAAUGUGCCCCAUCUCUACCCACAACCCCGAGCCCCACAGAUUCACUGAUCUGCUUCGUAUCGCUAUAAAUCAGACUUGUUUCUCCUAGAACUGUGUACAAAUAGAAUAACAUAUCUGUCUUCCUUUGCUCAGAAUAAUGUUUUUAAAAGCCAUCCAGAUUGUGUGUAUCAGUAGUUAAUUUCUUUACAUUGCUUCUGUGGUGUAGAUGUACCGUAAAUUGUGUAUCCAUUCAUCUGCUGAUUAACAUUUGGGUUGUUUUCAAUUGUAAUUUUAAAUAAAGCUGCCAUGAACAUUCACGUACAAGUCUUUGUGUGAGCACACAUUUUCACUUCUCUUGACUAAAUAGCUAGAGGUGGAAUUGCCGGCCCUACGAUAAGUGUCUGCUUCACUUUACAAAAAGCUACCAAACUGUUUUCUAAAACUGAAGUACUAUUUUACAUUCCCACCUGUAACGCAUUCAGUUGCUCCGCAUCUUUGCUAACAGUUGGCAAUCUGAACCUUUAGAAAUUUGGUAAUUUGACUCUUUCAGCAAAUGUAUCCAUUGCACUUAAAUUUUCAAAAUCAUUGAAUUUUAAUGGCUAUUAUCCUUUAAUGUCUUUAGGAUCAUACUGAUAUCCUCUUUUUUAUUGACCAGUCUAGCUAGAUUUAUCCACUUUUAUCAAUUAAAAAAGAAAACUUUGUUUUAUUUUCCGUAUUACUUGUCUGUUUUGUAUUUCAUUGAUUUGUACUCCUGUUUUGAUUAUUUCCUUCCUACUUACUUUGGGUUUAACUUAUUCUUCUAGCAGCUUAAGUUGGAACUUGAGUAGUUGAUUUUAGACCUUUUUUCAAUUUUGUAAUAUAAACAUUUAAAGCUACAAACUCCCCUCUAAGUGCUACUUUUACGCUGCAUCCCACAAGUGACGUUAUUUUUAUUUUCAUUUUUAUUCAGUUCAAAAUAUUUUCUGAUUUCCUUU
Molecule: long non-coding RNA, 6470 nt
Filed under: Equus caballus (horse)
Lineage: Eukaryota; Metazoa; Chordata; Mammalia; Perissodactyla; Equidae
Description: lncRNA (ENSECAG00000044909.1)
Source: RNAcentral